UACGUAGGGUGCGAGCGUUGCCCGGAUUUAUUGGGCGUAAAGAGCUCGUAGGCGGUUUGUCGCGUCUGCCGUGAAAGUCCGGGGCUCAACUCCGGAUCUGCGGUGGGUACGGGCAGACUAGAGUGAUGUAGGGGAGACUGGAAUUCCUGGUGUAGCGGUGAAAUGCGCAGAUAUCAGGAGGAACACCGAUGGCGAAGGCAGGUCUCUGGGCAUUAACUGACGCUGAGGAGCGAAAGCAUGGGGAGCGAACAGG
RNAcentral lists this ribosomal RNA (253 nucleotides) under uncultured bacterium. Its description in RNAcentral is "partial 16S ribosomal RNA". It matches the Rfam family "Bacterial small subunit ribosomal RNA", at positions 524 to 776 of the family's 1533-position model. The record is from RNAcentral.